RNAcentral lists this ribosomal RNA (2277 nucleotides) under human gut metagenome. RNAcentral describes it as "bacterial LSU rRNA". It matches the Rfam family "Bacterial large subunit ribosomal RNA", at positions 1 to 2316 of the family's 2925-position model. The record is from RNAcentral.
UUAAAGUAGUAAGGGCGCAGGGUGGAUGCCUUGGCACUAAGAGCCGAUGAAAGACGUGAUAAGCUGCGAAAAGCUUCGGGGAGGAGCACAUAUCCAAUGAUCCGGAGAUAUCUGAAUGGGGAAACCCGGCAGAGGAAACCUCUGUCAGCGUGCAGUGAAUACAUAGCUGUACGUGGGGAACCCGGGGAACUGAAACAUCUAAGUACCCGGAGGAAGAGAAAGAAAAUUUAUCGAUUUCCAAAGUAGCGGCGAGCGAAAUGGAAAGAGCCCAAACCGUGAUGCGUGCAUCGCGGGGUUCGGACUGCGUUGUGGCAGACGUAAGAUAGGAGAACGGACUGGGAAGUCCGGCCGGAGAGAGUGAAAGCCUCGUAUCCGAAAUCCCAAGUCGCCUGGCAGGAUCCAGAGUAGGACGAGACACGAGAAACCUUGUCUGAACGAGCGGGGACCACCCCGUAAGGCUAAAUACUUCUUAGUGACCGAUAGCGCAUAGUACUGUGAAGGAAAGGUGAAAAGUACCCCGGGAGGGGAGUGAAAGAGAACCUGAAACCCUGUGUCUACAAGCUGUGGGACCUCUUUAUAUGAGGGACUGCGUACUUUUUGUAGAACGGUCCGGCGAGUUGUGCGUACUGGCGAGGUUAAGGACUUAAGGUCUGGAGCCGAAGUGAAAGCAAGCGUUAAUAGCGCGUCAAGUCAGUGAGUGCAGACCCGAAACCGGGUGACCUAUCCAUGUCCAGGUUGAAGCUUCCGUAAGAGGAAGUGGAGGACCGAACCCACAUCCGUUGAAAAGGGUGGGGAUGAGGUGUGGAUAGCGGAGAAAUUCCAAUCGAACCCGGAGAUAGCUGGUUCUCCUCGAAAUAGCUUUAGGGCUAGCCUCAUGAGAGUCUUAUGGAGGUAGAGCACUGAAUUGCCUAGGGGGCGUCAAAGCUUACCAAAGCAUAUCAAACUCCGAAUGCCAUCAAGAUGAUUCAUGGGAGUCAGACCAUACGAGAUAAGUUGGAUGGUCAAAAGGGAAAGAGCCCAGACCUACAGCUAAGGUCCCAAAGUGCGUGUUAAGUGGAAAAGGAUGUGGGGAUUCUAAGACAACUAGGACGUUGGCUUAGAAGCAGCCAUUCAUUGAAAGAGUGCGUAAUAGCUCACUAGUCGAGAGUCCCUGCGCCGAAAAUGUCCGGGGCUGAAACACGACACCGAAGCUUAGGAAUGUGUAAACAUUGGUAGAGGAGCAUUGCUAGCGGGAUGAAGCCAUACCGUAAGGAGUGGUGGACUGCUAGGAAGAGAGAAUGCCGGAAUGAGUAGCGAGAUGAAGGUGAGAAUCCUUCAGGCCGAAUAUCUAAGGUUUCCAGAGUAAAGCUGAUCUGCUCUGGGUAAGUCGGGACCUAAGGCGAGGUCGAAAGACGUAGUCGAUGGAUAACAGGUUGAAAUUCCUGUACCGCAUAUAAACAGAACUGUGGGGACACAGACAGGGAAUGGAAUCCGGGAAUGGAAAUCCCGGUGCAAGCGAGGUAGGAGUGCUGUUGGCAAAUCCGCAGCACGAUCUGAAGACGUGAUGCGUACCGAACAUAAGUAGGGAAGUCCAGGCCCCUGGCUGUCAAGAAAAGCCGCUAUUGUUUUAUAUGUGCCCGUACCGCAAACCGACACAGGUGGAUGAGGAGAGAAUCCUAAGGCCGACGGGAGAAGUAUUGUUAAGGAACUCGGCAAAAUGACUCCGUAACUUCGGGAGAAGGAGUGCCAUGAGAGUGGCCGCAGAGAAAUGGCCCAAGCAACUGUUUAGCAAAAACACAGGUCUAUGCAAAACCGCAAGGUGAAGUAUAUGGGCUGACGCCUGCCCGGUGCUGGAAGGUUAAGGGGAGAGGUUAGCGCAAGCGAAGCUUUGAACUUAAGCCCCAGUAAACGGCGGCCGUAACUAUAACGGUCCUAAGGUAGCGAAAUUCCUUGUCGGGUAAGUUCCGACCCGCACGAAAGGCGUAAUGAUUUGGGCACUGUCUCAACGAUACACCCGGUGAAAUUGAAAUACCAGUGAAGAUGCUGGUUACCUGCGCCAGGACGGAAAGACCCCAUGGAGCUUUACUCCAGUUUGAUACUGGGAUUCGGCAUGGUAUGUACAGGAUAGGUGGGAGACUGAGAAGGUAUGACGUCAGUUGUACCGGAGUCGCUGUUGGGAUACCACCCUUACCAUGUUGGAUUUCUAACCUGUGGCCGUAAGCCGGUCAGGGGACAAUGUCAGGCGGGGAGUUUGACUGGGGCGGUCGCCUCCGAAAGGGUAUCGGAGGCGCUCAAAGG